AGGGACUACACGGGUUUCUAAUCCUGUUUGCUCCCCACGCUUUCGUGCCUCAGUGUCAGUUACAGUCCAGAGAGCCGCCUUCGCAACUGGUAUUCCUCCUAAUAUCUACGCAUUUCACCGCUACACAUGGA
Molecule: unclassified non-coding RNA, 131 nt
Filed under: uncultured fungus
Lineage: Eukaryota; Fungi
Description: sequence contains ITS1
Source: RNAcentral